UUGCUACNGAAUANUCCCGGGANACUGGNNUUAAUACCGUAUACGCCCUUCGGGGGAAAGAUUUAUCGGCNAAGGAUCGGCCCGCGUUGGAUUANGUAGUUGGUGGGGUAAUGGCCUACCAAGCCGACGAUCCAUAGCUGGUUUGAGAGGAUGAUCAGCCACACUGGGACUGAGACACGGCCCAGACUCCUACGGGAGGCAGCAGUGGGGAAUCUUAGACAAUGGGGGCAACCCUGAUCUAGCCAUGCCGCGUGAGUGAUGAAGGCCUUAGGGUUGUAAAGCUCUUUCAGCUGGGAAGAUAAUGACGGUACCAGCAGAAGAAGCCCCGGCUAACUCCGUGCCAGCAGCCGCGGUAAUACGGAGGGGGCUAGCGUUGUUCGGAAUUACUGGGCGUAAAGCGCACGUAGGCGGAUCGGAAAGUUGGGGGUGAAAUCCCGGGGCUCANCCUCGGAACUGCCUCCAAAACUAUCGGUCUUGAGUUCGAGAGAGGUGAGUGGAAUUCCGAGUGUAGAGGUGAAAUUCGUAGAUAUUCGGANGAACACNNNUGGCGAAGGCGGCUCACUGGCUCGAUACUGACGCUGANGUGNNAAAGCGUGGGGAGCAAACAGGAUUAGAUACCCNGGGUAGUCCACGCCGUANNCGAUGAAUGNCAGUCGUCGGGUUGCAUGCAAUUCGGUGANNCNCCUAACGNAUUAAGCAUUCCGCCUGGGGAGUNNGGUCGCAAGAU
RNAcentral lists this ribosomal RNA (727 nucleotides) under Paracoccus sp. MR04-21. RNAcentral's name for it is "partial 16S ribosomal RNA". It matches the Rfam family "Bacterial small subunit ribosomal RNA", at positions 133 to 894 of the family's 1533-position model. The record is from RNAcentral. Lineage: Bacteria; Pseudomonadati; Pseudomonadota; Alphaproteobacteria; Rhodobacterales; Paracoccaceae.